Molecule: ribosomal RNA, 757 nt
Filed under: uncultured Sphingobium sp.
Lineage: Bacteria; Pseudomonadati; Pseudomonadota; Alphaproteobacteria; Sphingomonadales; Sphingobiaceae
Description: bacterial SSU rRNA
Rfam family: Bacterial small subunit ribosomal RNA
Source: RNAcentral
GUCCACGCCGUGAACGAUGAUAACUAGCUGCUGGGGCUCAUGGAGUUUCGGUGGCGCAGCUAACGCAUUAAGUUAUCCGCCUGGGGAGUACGUUCGCAAGAUUAAAACUCAAAGGAAUUGACGGGGGCCUGCACAAGCGGUGGAGCAUGUGGUUUAAUUCGAAGCNACGCGCAGAACCUUACCAACGUUUGACAUCCUCAUCGCGAUUUCCAGAGAUGGAUUUCUUCAGUUCGGCUGGAUGAGUGACAGGUGCUGCAUGGCUGUCGUCAGCUCGUGUCGUGAGAUGUUGGGUUAAGUCCCGCAACGAGCGCAACCCUCGCCUUUAGUUGCCAUCAUUUAGUUGGGUACUCUAAAGGAACCGCCGGUGAUAAGCCGGAGGAAGGUGGGGAUGACGUCAAGUCCUCAUGGCCCUUACGCGUUGGGCUACACACGUGCUACAAUGGCGACUACAGUGGGCAGCGACCAUGCGAGUGGAAGCUAAUCUCCAAAAGUCGUCUCAGUUCGGAUUGUUCUCUGCAACUCGAGAGCAUGAAGGCGGAAUCGCUAGUAAUCGCGGAUCAGCAUGCCGCGGUGAAUACGUUCCCAGGCCUUGUACACACCGCCCGUCACACCAUGGGAGUUGGUUUCACCCGAAGGCAGUGCGCUAACCGCAAGGAGGCGGCUGACCACGGUGGGAUCAGCGACUGGGGUGAAGUCGUAACAAGGUAGCCGUAGGGGAACCUGCGGCUAGAUCACCUCCUUGAGCUUGGAUCCCGGG